RNAcentral lists this unclassified non-coding RNA (886 nucleotides) under Drosophila yakuba. RNAcentral's name for it is "GE28484". The record is from RNAcentral. Lineage: Eukaryota; Metazoa; Arthropoda; Insecta; Diptera; Drosophilidae.
CAACAAGUUUUGUUGCCACUUUUCAAGAUAUAUUAACAUCGAAAACUCGACUUUACGCCAAAAAAAUCGAUUUCUGGACCACAGUUCACUGCGAGUAUUCUUACUCGAACCGAUUCCCACACAAAUAAUGGCGUGGAAGUCGGAGCCGAGGACCAGCAGCAGCGCAGUGGAGCAACUGGUGGAGUGCAAAAAUAGGAAUAUAGGAAUUGCAGAAAGAGGGAUACUUGGCCGCCGUAUGCGAACACAAUGCCCGAGAACCGGCGAUACGGUCUGGUGAUAACAAACCAGAGUUCGGACGCGGACGUUGUGGACACCUUUGCCCUAAUUGUAAACGCCAACCGACGCCGAUGCGUAGAAUGCCGCGCUGUUCUUCUUACUUAUGACGGGGAUUUCAUCUGGCGCUGCUGUUUGCCACCAUAGGCUUCAUACCUCAACCUUAGCUAACAUUGUGCAUACAUGGUACAUACAUAAUACUGUGGGCCUUACCGAGUAUCUAUCCGCAGACGUUCGACUCCAGCAUGCUAGUGGUCUGCGAGGAUGAGGAAACCGCCCAAUGGGUCAUCUCAGCCGUCCAUGGUAUGUGCCCGCCGCACUCCUGCCAGCCCUUAAUCGAGUUCUUCGGCCUCCUGAGGACGUGAGGAGUCGCAGAACCCGGGCCUAAACACCGACAAGUGGGCCGUGGUCAAUCGCUCCACCCUAGACUGCAAUGAUGUGGAGCGGCAGGUCCCUCAGUUCUGCGACAACAUCGUGAUAGAGCUGUAUGUCAAAGAGGAAAGUAGGGAAUUAAUCGCCGAACGAUGCUUUAAACUACGUUACUGCUUCUGGCAACUUCUAUUCAGUUUUGAUUGCUAGGACGUUUUUGGGUUUUCCAAAUUAUUUGUUAAUA